UCCUGUCACAGGGUGAGGCCCAAAACAAUAUCCGAGUCUACAUAACAACAAAAGAACCAUAAUAGAGAGCAAAUGCAACCAAUCAUAAAACCAGAACUGCCUUCCUAUUAAGCUUGAUUAAGAACCACAACAAAAUCAGGCAUCUGAAAGUUGGAGAGAAUAAGAAUAAGCACGGGAAAGUCUAGAUGAAAGAUAAAUUGUAGUAGAAAAAUUACUAUACUCCCUCUAACACUAUAUAAUUGACAGCGUCAAAGGUUGAUCUGUGGCCAAUAACUAGACCAAGUCUUGCACCACCUUAAGCACCUACAUUGAUAACAUACACGUAUGCGUAACAACAAAAAACUGUCACAGGGUGAGGCCCAAAACAAUAUCCGAGUCUACAUAACAACAAAAGAACUAUAAUAGAGAGAGCAAAUGCAACCAAACAUAAAACCAGAACUGCCUUCCAGUUAAGCUUGAUUAAGAGCCACACAACAAAAUCAGGCAUCUGAAAAUUGGAGAGAAUAAGAAUAAACACGGGAAAGUCUAGAUGAAAGAUAAAUUGUAGUAGAAAAAAUACUAAACUAUACUCCCUCUUGACACCCUCGAUGAACACUAUAUAAUUGACAGCGUCAAAGGUUGAUCUGUGGCCAAUAACUAGACCAAGAUUAGCACCACCUUAAACACCUAUAUUGAUAACAUACUCGUAUGCGUAACAAACAAAAUACUGAUGAAAGAGAGAAAAGACAAAACCAAGCCUCAAACCAGAAGUGCCUUCAAGUUAUGAACACCUAGAAAUUGAAGAGUAUUAACAAUAAGUACGGGAAACUCAAGGUAGAAGAGAAAACGUAAAAGGAAAAAUACUAUUCUGCACUCCAUGUGCCACCCUCAACAAACAUUAUAUCAAUGACGGCAUCAAAGAUUAGUCCGUAUCCAAAAACCAGACCAAGAUACUAAGUUGAUAGAAUAAAAUUUAUAUUGUCUCCUGUCACAGGGUGAGGCCCAAAACAAUAUCCAAGUCCACAUAACAACAAAUAAACUAUAAUUACAGAGCAAAGGUGACCAAUUAUUAAACCAGAAAAGCCUUCCCGUGAAGCUUGAUUAAGAACCACACAGCGAUCAGGCAUCUGGAAAUUGAUGAGAACAACGGUAAGCAAGGCAAACUCUAGGUACAAGAGAAAAUGUGGUAGAAAAAAAAACUAUAUGUACUCCCUUUUCCACGCACGAUUAACACUAUAUCAAUAACAACAUUAAAGAUUUGUCUGUGUCCAAAAACCAGACCAAGAAAGCCCCCACCUUAAGUUCCUACUUUGAUAGAAUCAGAACAUACAAGUCAACAUAACAACAAAAGAACUAUAAUAGAGAGAGAGCAAAGGUAACCAAUCAUCAAACCCGAACUGCCUUCCAGUUAAGCUUGAUUAAGAACCAAAAACGAUCAGGCAUCUGAAAAUUGGAGAGAAUAACAACAAUAA
This 1451-nucleotide long non-coding RNA is filed under the name Salvia miltiorrhiza (redroot sage). RNAcentral describes it as "long non-coding RNA (SMIL_LNC005899)". The record is from RNAcentral. Lineage: Eukaryota; Viridiplantae; Streptophyta; Magnoliopsida; Lamiales; Lamiaceae.